UACGAAGGGGGCUAGCGUUGUUCGGAAUUACUGGGCGUAAAGCGCGCGCAGGCGGCUAUCCAAGUCAGUGGUGAAAGCCCGGAGCUCAACUCCGGAACUGCCAUUGAAACUGUUUAGCUUGAGUAUGAGAGAGGUGAGUGGAAUUCCCAGUGUAGAGGUGAAAUUCGUAGAUAUUGGGAAGAACACCGGUGGCGAAGGCGGCGACCUGGUCCGUGACUGACGCUGAGGCGCGAAAGCGUGGGGAGCAAACAGG
This 253-nucleotide ribosomal RNA is filed under the name uncultured bacterium. Its description in RNAcentral is "partial 16S ribosomal RNA". It matches the Rfam family "Bacterial small subunit ribosomal RNA", at positions 524 to 776 of the family's 1533-position model. The record is from RNAcentral.